UUUCUUUGCUUUUGAAGCAAACUUUUGAUCACAAAUGAAAACAAUUUGACCACGUUAUGAAAAAUCUUCUGCUUUAACCGAAUAAAUCCUAAUCUGACUGAAUGUGUCUCCAGAACAUGACCUCUGACCCUGCAGCUCCGCCUCCUGCAGAAACCAGACAAAAAAAGGGUGAAGCUGAGGAGGGGCUUUCCUACGCCUCCAUCAGCUACACCCAGAAACCCACCAGGGUUAAAGGUGAAUAUGAUGGAUCCACCGUGACCUACAGCACGCUGAAAGCUGCACCUGCUGAUCCCCACAGCCUCUACACCUCCAUCGAGUGACCAACGACACCAGAGAGAGGGUCACGGCUCAUGCAUGCACUGUAAAAAACACGCAUGAUGGCUGUUCAUGCACACUUUCAUAAACUAACUUUAAUAAGAGAGUGGAAAAGUUUUAAUUUAGCACAAAUUGUAGGAAAGUGUUUAUUUGUGUACUGUAACCACGCUUCCGGGUAAUAAAACUCGUUAUUGCAAAGCCUGAUGUGUCAUUUUUUACUCUGAGGUCCAACUUGUGAGGAUCGUGCAUCAG
Molecule: long non-coding RNA, 567 nt
Organism: Nothobranchius furzeri (turquoise killifish)
Lineage: Eukaryota; Metazoa; Chordata; Actinopteri; Cyprinodontiformes; Nothobranchiidae
Source: RefSeq, a predicted model, not a curated record